This is a long non-coding RNA of Calidris pugnax (ruff), 877 nucleotides long. RefSeq lists it as uncharacterized. The transcript has 3 exons. NCBI's taxonomy places the organism in Eukaryota, Metazoa, Chordata, Aves, Charadriiformes, Scolopacidae. The record is from RefSeq and is a predicted model, not a curated record.
UGAAGAUUGUUUAAAAUACUUGGAAGCUUCUGCUAUUGUAAUCACUAUGUUCCACUGCAUUCACAUUGCCCCACUUUGCUUCACUUAAGUCCAUCUUUAUUCCUACGCGUUAUGGUCCCUGCACGAAAAGACUUGUGUUAAUGAGUGCCCACUGUACCGUGGAUACCUUCCCUGACGCAUGAGGCGACAUCGCAGUGUGACUCUCAACUACACUGUCACAAACUUUGCCUAAUUUUCAGGUGCUGCAUUGUUGUGCCCAAUCCAUUGCCUUCUCUGGUUUCCAGAAACUGCUAUGAAUAAACUUGAAGCCCUCAUUUUAAGUGAUUAAAGCCCUGUAAAGGGCAGUGAGUUGCAUGUGGAAAUCUCUCUUCUGAAUUAGUGAUAACAUGGGAAGUAUCCAAAAUAAGUCAGCUCAUGUACUUCUGGGUUUCCAGUUCCCAUGGGAAUACCUCAGAAGACAAGCUAUGUUAUUAAGUUAACCAAACACAAAUUUGCCUUACAAUUUUUCCAUUCAUUCAAAUGGGACGUGAGUAGUUUGUUUCCUAAUCUGCACAAUUGCCCUGGAGCUCCUGUUGCAGUGUGUCAGUACAAUGACAGCUUCCCCUGAAUGACAACUCACAGCUCUAGUGAAAAAUGACAGGAUUUGUUAACCAAGUUUGUUAAGAAAAGACUCAGUUCUUGAGUGACUCUGUUUCUCAGUGGCAUCACAGUUAAUCAUCUCUGCAUUUUGUACUACACCUUAAAUAUACUUAUUUUGAAAUGGAUCUGAUUGGCAUGCUUAAAUGGACUGGUAAUGGUGUAUUGCACAAAAUUUUGUAUAACAGAAUAUGCUGUAGCACUACCUACUAACAUAAUAUUGUUGAUAGCAAUUAGAGGA